AACGGUCUAUACCUGCGGUACCUGCGGAAGGAUCAUUAUCAAUUUACAGCGGACUUCGGUCCUGUCUGCACCCUUGUCUUUUGCGUACUAUAUGUUUCCUCGGUGGGCUUGCCUGCCGAUAGGACACUUAUAAACUCUUUUGUAAUUGCAAUCAGCGUCAGAAGACUAUAAUAGUUACAACUUUCAACAAUGGAUCUCU
This 199-nucleotide unclassified non-coding RNA is filed under the name soil metagenome. RNAcentral's name for it is "partial contains 5.8S ribosomal RNA, internal transcribed spacer 2, and large subunit ribosomal RNA". The record is from RNAcentral.